Molecule: long non-coding RNA, 233 nt
Filed under: Hordeum vulgare
Lineage: Eukaryota; Viridiplantae; Streptophyta; Magnoliopsida; Poales; Poaceae
Description: long non-coding RNA (HVUL_LNC015281)
Source: RNAcentral
CGUCUUUGUUUGGGUCGUAGCUACAAAUACUUAAAUUACAGACCACUUUUUGUAAAAUAAAAAUGUGUGGUAUUCUUUUUCCCGUUGCAACGCACGGGCCUUUUUCCUAUAAUUUAUAAACCAGAAGAGGUGAAACCAAAACUAUACUCCCUCCGUCCGGUAUUUCUCGUCGCACUAGUGUUUUUGCAGUUUAGUCCUCGUUGUUAUCCCGAUCAAACCCACGGUCCUCUCUC